RNAcentral lists this microRNA (22 nucleotides) under Daphnia magna. RNAcentral's name for it is "Dma-Mir-219_3p (mature (guide))". The record is from RNAcentral. Lineage: Eukaryota; Metazoa; Arthropoda; Branchiopoda; Diplostraca; Daphniidae.
AGAAAUGUGUGGGGACAUCGUU